Molecule: ribosomal RNA, 407 nt
Filed under: uncultured bacterium
Lineage: Bacteria
Description: partial 16S ribosomal RNA
Rfam family: Bacterial small subunit ribosomal RNA
Source: RNAcentral
AUUGAACGCUGGCGGCAGGCCUAACACAUGCAAGUCGAGCGGAUGGGCGGACGGGUGCGUAAUGCCUAGGAAUCUGCCUGGUAGUGGGGGAUCACGUCCGCAAACGGGAGCUAAUACCACAACCUAUCCAAUGCGCCUAGGUCGGAUUGGCUAGUGGGUGGGGUAAAGGCCUACCAAGGCGACGAUCCGUAACUGGUCUGAGAGGAUGAUCAGUCACACUGGAACUGAGACACGGACCAGACUCCUACGGGAGGCAGCAGUGGGGAAUAUUGGACAAUGGGAGAAAGCCUGAUCCAGCCAUGCCGCGUGUGUGAAGAAGGUCUUCGGAUUGUAAAGUACUUUAAGUUGGGAGGCGUUACCAACAGAAUAAGCACCGGCUAACUUCGUGCCAGCAGCCGCGGUAAUAC